Hemiscyllium ocellatum (epaulette shark) is the source of this 444-nucleotide long non-coding RNA. RefSeq lists it as uncharacterized. The transcript has 3 exons. Lineage: Eukaryota; Metazoa; Chordata; Chondrichthyes; Orectolobiformes; Hemiscylliidae. The record is from RefSeq and is a predicted model, not a curated record.
GUAAAGUUUACCCAAAAAGAUAUCUUAAGAGCAUCGAAGCUUGUUAAAGAAUUUUAUUUUACAGUAACAUGCCAGGAUUAGGAUAAACACAUUUCUGGGCAGUGAACCAUGUGAGUAGGCUGUGGUGGAAUUUGUGUGGUCAACCUACAACACAUGGAUUGCAGUGGUUCAAGAAGACAGCUCACCACUAUCUUCUCAAGGACAUUGCUGGAGUCGCACUAGGACCGAGCGGGGACACGGAUCUGACCUGGACCUGCAUGUUGCAAUCUGGUGGGCCCGCUCCACACUCACCACAGCCAACUCUAUCUUCAGGCCCAGGAACUUUGGAAGCCACUUCUCCAGGAAUCCAAUGUGAUCCUUGCCUUCCUCGUGUUCUGGGAGAUCCAGGAGCCUUAAGUUUUCCUUUUAGUUUCAGGUUGUCCACUUGUUCUUGAAGGACCCAAA